Molecule: ribosomal RNA, 301 nt
Filed under: uncultured bacterium
Lineage: Bacteria
Description: partial 16S ribosomal RNA
Rfam family: Bacterial small subunit ribosomal RNA
Source: RNAcentral
CAGCCGCCGCGGUAAUACGUAGGUGGCAAGCGUUGUCCGGAAUUAUUGGGCGUAAAGGGCUCGCAGGCGGUUUCUUAAGUCUGAUGUGAAAGCCCCCGGCUCAACCGGGGAGGGUCAUUGGAAACUGGGAGACUUGAGUGCAGAAGAGGAGAGUGGAAUUCCACGUGUAGCGGUGAAAUGCGUAGAGAUGUGGAGGAACACCAGUGGCGAAGGCGACUCUCUGGUCUGUAACUGACGCUGAGGAGCGAAAGCGUGGGGAGCGAACAGGAUUAGAUACCCGUGUAGUCCCUGUCUCUUAUAC